GCGUGAGGGANGACGGCUUUUGGGUUGUAAACCUCUUUUAUCAGGGAAGAAACGAUGACGGUACCUGAUGAAUCAGCAUCGGCUAACUCCGUGCCAGCAGCCGCGGUAAUACGGAGGAUGCAAGCGUUAUCCGGAAUUAUUGGGCGUAAAGCGUCCGUAGGUGGUUUAUCAAGUCUGCUGUCAAAGCGUGCGGCUUAACCGCAUAAGGGCAGUGGAAACUGAUGAACUAGAGUGCGAUAGGGGUAACAGGAAUUCCCAGUGUAGCGGUGAAAUGCGUAGAUAUUGGGAAGAACACCAGCGGCGAAAGCGUGUUACUGGGUCUGCACUGACACUGAGGGACGAAAGCUAGGGGAGCGAAAGGGAUUAGAUACCCCNUGUAGUCA
Molecule: ribosomal RNA, 383 nt
Filed under: Leptolyngbya sp. TCF-2c
Lineage: Bacteria; Bacillati; Cyanobacteriota; Cyanophyceae; Leptolyngbyales; Leptolyngbyaceae
Also listed under: 1 other name
Description: bacterial SSU rRNA
Rfam family: Bacterial small subunit ribosomal RNA
Source: RNAcentral